RNAcentral lists this ribosomal RNA (252 nucleotides) under uncultured bacterium. RNAcentral's name for it is "partial 16S ribosomal RNA". It matches the Rfam family "Bacterial small subunit ribosomal RNA", at positions 524 to 776 of the family's 1533-position model. The record is from RNAcentral.
UACAGAGGAUGCGAGCGUUAUCCGGAUUUAUUGGGUUUAAAGGGUGCGUAGGCGGAUCGUUAAGUCAGUGGUCAAAUUGAGGGGCUCAACCCCUUCCCGCCAUUGAAACUGGCGAUCUUGAGUGGAAGAGAAGUAUGCGGAAUGCGUGGUGUAGCGGUGAAAUGCAUAGAUAUCACGCAGAACCCCGAUUGCGAAGGCAGCAUGCCGGCUUCCUACUGACGCUGAAGCACGAAAGCGUGGGGAUCGAACAGG